This 253-nucleotide ribosomal RNA is filed under the name uncultured bacterium. RNAcentral's name for it is "partial 16S ribosomal RNA". It matches the Rfam family "Bacterial small subunit ribosomal RNA", at positions 524 to 776 of the family's 1533-position model. The record is from RNAcentral.
UACGAAGGUGGCUAGCGUUGUUCGGAUUUAUUGGGCGUAAAGGGUCCGCAGGCGGUUUGAUAAGUCAGGUGUGAAAUCCCUCAGCUUAACUGUGGACACGCAUUUGAUACUGUUAGACUAGAGUAUGAGAGGGGUGAGAGGAAUUUCCAGUGUAGGGGUGAAAUCCGUAGAUAUUGGAAAGAACACCGGCCGCGAAGGCGUUUCACUGGCUCAUUACUGACGCUCAGGGACGAAAGCCAGGGGAGCAAACGGG